Molecule: ribosomal RNA, 461 nt
Filed under: Streptococcus thermophilus
Lineage: Bacteria; Bacillati; Bacillota; Bacilli; Lactobacillales; Streptococcaceae
Description: bacterial SSU rRNA
Rfam family: Bacterial small subunit ribosomal RNA
Source: RNAcentral
CCUACGGGAGGCAGCAGUAGGGAAUCUUCGGCAAUGGGGGCAACCCUGACCGAGCACGCCGCGUGAGUGAAGAAGGUUUUCGGAUCGUAAAGCUCUGUUGUAAGUAAGCGGGUGUGAGAGUGGAAAGUUCACACUGUGACGGUAGCUUACCAGAAAGGGACGGCUAACUACGUGCCAGCAGCCGCGGUAAUACGUAGGUCCCGAGCGUUGUCCGGAUUUAUUGGGCGUAAAGCGAGCGCAGGCGGUUUGAUAAGUCUGAAGUUAAAGGCUGUGGCUCAACCAUAGUUCGCUUUGGAAACUGUCAAACUUGAGUGCAGAAGGGGAGAGUGGAAUUCCAUGUGUAGCGGUGAAAUGCGUAGAUAUAUGGAGGAACACCGGUGGCGAAAGCGGCUCUCUGGUCUGUAACUGACGCUGAGGCUCGAAAGCGUGGGGAGCGAACAGGAUUAGAUACCCUGGUAGUC